Molecule: ribosomal RNA, 292 nt
Filed under: uncultured bacterium
Lineage: Bacteria
Description: partial 16S ribosomal RNA
Rfam family: Bacterial small subunit ribosomal RNA
Source: RNAcentral
GUGUCAGCAGCCGCGGUAAUACGGAGGGUGCAAGCGUUAUCCGGAUUCACUGGGUUUAAAGGGUGCGUAGGUGGAUCGAUAAGUCAGUGGUGAAAGCCCCGAGCUCAACUUGGGAAUUGCCAUUGAUACUGUUGAUCUUGAGUGCGGUUGAGGUAGACGGAAUAUGUCAUGUAGCGGUGAAAUGCUUAGAUAUGACAUAGAACACCAAUUGCGAAGGCAGUUUACCAAGCCGAUACUGACACUGAGGCACGAAAGCGUGGGGAUCAAACAGGAUUAGAAACCCCCGUAGUCC